This 418-nucleotide long non-coding RNA is filed under the name Phasianus colchicus (ring-necked pheasant). RNAcentral's name for it is "lncRNA (ENSPCLG00000001846.1)". The record is from RNAcentral. Lineage: Eukaryota; Metazoa; Chordata; Aves; Galliformes; Phasianidae.
GCCCUUGUGCCCUUCACCCUAGGAAGAGAGAAAAAUGAAGAAAAGAAAAAGUGUCUCAAGUUCUCAUCUAUUUGUGACAACACAAAUCCAAUAUGCCAUAAACAUGUUGAAAUGUUCUGGCCUUUACAGUUUUACCAGCCUGAGAUACAUGGUAUGGGACAGGAAGCCAGGAAGAGUCUUCUGAAAGAGCAGUCACCACUGAAAUCUGAAAAGGGAGAGCAUACAUCAAAACAUGAAGACAAAAUCAAUCAAGGUCAUACACUAACUUUGUGAAAAGUUCAGCCUUUACUUACUGGCUUGCUUCAAAGUGGCCUGGAAUUUAUGUAGUUUGAAAGCCAGUCUUCUGUGGUACCUUUACUUGACCUCUGUGUUACUUUUCCUGAGAUUUUUCAAACACUUCAACAUGUUUGAGUUUUAC